RNAcentral lists this ribosomal RNA (443 nucleotides) under uncultured bacterium. RNAcentral describes it as "partial 16S ribosomal RNA". It matches the Rfam family "Bacterial small subunit ribosomal RNA", at positions 338 to 795 of the family's 1533-position model. The record is from RNAcentral.
CCUACGGGUGGCUGCAGUGGGGAAUAUUGGGCAAUGGAGGAAACUCUGACCCAGCAACGCCGCGUGAAUGAUGAAGGUCUUCGGAUUGUAAAGUUCUUUUCUAAGGGAAGAAGAAAGUGACAGUACCUUAGGAAUAAGCCUCGCCCAACUACGUGCCAGCAGCCGCGGUAAGACGUUGGAGGCGAGCGUUGUGCGGAAUGACUGGGGGUAAAUGGUGCGUAGGUGGUUAGGCAAGUUAGUAGCUAAACUCCAGGGGUCAAACUUGGAACUACUACUGAAACUGGUGGACUUGAGUGGGAGAGAGGCAAGCGGAAUGCGUGGGGUAGCGGUGAAAUGCGUAGAUAUUAGGCAGAACACCAGUGGCGAAGGCGGGUUGCUGGCCUGAAACUGACACUGAGGCACGAAAGCGUGGGGAGCAAACAGGAUUAGAUACCCUUGUAGUC